CCUGGUAGUCCAUGCCGUAAACGAUGAAUGCUAGGUGUUGGAGGGUUUCCGCCCUUCAGUGCCGCAGCUAACGCAUUAAGCAUUCCGCCUGGGGAGUACGACCGCAAGGUUGAAACUCAAAGGAAUUGACGGGGGCCCGCACAAGCGGUGGAGCAUGUGGUUUAAUUCGAAGCAACGCGAAGAACCUUACCAGGUCUUGACAUCUUUUGAUCACCUGAGAGAUCAGGUUUCCCCUUCGGGGGCAAAAUGACAGGUGGUGCAUGGUUGUCGUCAGCUCGUGUCGUGAGAUGUUGGGUUAAGUCCCGCAACGAGCGCAACCCUUAUGACUAGUUGCCAGCAUUUAGUUGGGCACUCUAGUAAGACUGCCGGUGACAAACCGGAGGAAGGUGGGGAUGACGUCAAAUCAUCAUGCCCCUUAUGACCUGGGCUACACACGUGCUACAAUGGAUGGU
This 452-nucleotide ribosomal RNA is filed under the name Lacticaseibacillus rhamnosus. Its description in RNAcentral is "bacterial SSU rRNA". It matches the Rfam family "Bacterial small subunit ribosomal RNA", at positions 786 to 1238 of the family's 1533-position model. The record is from RNAcentral. Lineage: Bacteria; Bacillati; Bacillota; Bacilli; Lactobacillales; Lactobacillaceae.